This 83-nucleotide transfer RNA is filed under the name Thermoleophilum album. It matches the Rfam family "tRNA". From Rfam's summary of the family: Transfer RNA (tRNA) molecules are approximately 80 nucleotides in length. Their secondary structure includes four short double-helical elements and three loops (D, anti-codon, and T loops). Lineage: Bacteria; Bacillati; Actinomycetota; Thermoleophilia; Thermoleophilales; Thermoleophilaceae. RNAcentral also lists the same sequence under 3 other names. The record is from Rfam by way of RNAcentral.
GGGGGGGUGCCCGAGCGGUCAAAGGGACCAGACUGUAAAUCUGGCGGCGUAUGCCUACGCAGGUUCGAAUCCUGCCCCCCCCA